RNAcentral lists this ribosomal RNA (468 nucleotides) under uncultured bacterium. Its description in RNAcentral is "bacterial SSU rRNA". It matches the Rfam family "Bacterial small subunit ribosomal RNA", at positions 329 to 793 of the family's 1533-position model. The record is from RNAcentral.
UUCCAGACUCCUACGGGAGGCAGCAGUGAGGAAUAUUGGUCAAUGGGCGGAAGCCUGAACCAGCCAAGUCGCGUGAGGGAAUAAGGCCCUACGGGUCGUAAACCUCUUUUGCCGGGGAGCAAGGGCGGGGACGUGUCCCGGCCCGGAGAGUACCCGGAGAAAAAGCAUCGGCUAACUCCGUGCCAGCAGCCGCGGUAAUACGUAGGGGGCAAGCGUUAUCCGGAUUUACUGGGUGUAAAGGGAGCGUAGACGGCAGUGCAAGUCUGAAGUGAAAGGCGGGGGCCCAACCCCCGAACUGCUUUGGAAACUGUGCUGCUGGAGUGCAGGAGAGGCAAGUGGAAUUCCUAGUGUAGCGGUGAAAUGCGUAGAUAUUAGGAGGAACACCAGUGGCGAAGGCGGCUUGCUGGACUGUAACUGACGUUGAGGCUCGAAAGCGUGGGGAGCAAACGGGAUUAGAUACCCCCGUAU